UAUUACAGCUAUCAAAAAGUUGUCAACUAACAAUAUAUAGUAAAUUUAUUUUGCUAUACUUUACUAGUUGGCAACUUUUUCAUGGCUU
Caenorhabditis elegans is the source of this 88-nucleotide non-coding RNA. Lineage: Eukaryota; Metazoa; Nematoda; Chromadorea; Rhabditida; Rhabditidae. The record is from Ensembl.